AAAUUGAAGAGUUUGAUCAUGGCUCAGAUUGAACGCUGGCGGCAGGCCUAACACAUGCAAGUCGAGCGGCAGCGGGAAAGUAGCUUGCUACUUUUGCCGGCGAGCGGCGGACGGGUGAGUAAUGCCUGGGAAAUUGCCCAGUCGAGGGGGAUAACAGUUGGAAACGACUGCUAAUACCGCAUACGCCCUACGGGGGAAAGCAGGGGACCUUCGGGCCUUG
This 220-nucleotide ribosomal RNA is filed under the name Aeromonas caviae. RNAcentral's name for it is "partial 16S ribosomal RNA". It matches the Rfam family "Bacterial small subunit ribosomal RNA", at positions 1 to 215 of the family's 1533-position model. Lineage: Bacteria; Pseudomonadati; Pseudomonadota; Gammaproteobacteria; Aeromonadales; Aeromonadaceae. The record is from RNAcentral.